GUUUUAAUAGUUUAAACAAAACAUUGGUCUUGUAAACCGAAAAUAAGACACAAUCUUUUAAAACUU
This 66-nucleotide transfer RNA is filed under the name Klapopteryx armillata. RNAcentral describes it as "tRNA-Thr". It matches the Rfam family "tRNA". Rfam says of the family: Transfer RNA (tRNA) molecules are approximately 80 nucleotides in length. The record is from RNAcentral. Lineage: Eukaryota; Metazoa; Arthropoda; Insecta; Plecoptera; Austroperlidae.